Molecule: ribosomal RNA, 120 nt
Organism: Pseudogymnoascus pannorum
Lineage: Eukaryota; Fungi; Ascomycota; Leotiomycetes; Thelebolales; Thelebolaceae
Source: Rfam
ACAUACGAUCAUAGACUCAAGAGAAUUGGGCAUCCCGUCCGCUCUGCCAUACACAAGCUUGAGAUCGGUGGAUUAGUAGUUGGGUGGGUGACCACCAGCGAAUACCCACUGUUGUAUGUU